Molecule: small nuclear RNA, 107 nt
Organism: Nomascus leucogenys (northern white-cheeked gibbon)
Lineage: Eukaryota; Metazoa; Chordata; Mammalia; Primates; Hylobatidae
Source: Ensembl
GUGCUUGCUUUGGCAGCACAUAUACUAAAACUGGAAAAAUACAGAGAAGAUUAGCAUGGUCCCUGCACAAAGAUGAUGUGCAAAUUCAUGAAGCAUUCCAUAGUUUU